CCUACGGGUGGCAGCAGUGAGGAAUAUUGCACAAUGGGGGGAACCCUGAUGCAGCGACGCCGCGUGGGGGAGGAAGUACUUCGGUAUGGAAAGCCCUAUCAGCAGGGAAGAAAAUGACGGGACCUGACUAAGAAGCCCCGGCUAACUACGUGCCAGCAGCCGCGGGAAUACGUAGGGGGCAGGCGUUAUCCGGAAUCAAGGGGUGUAAAGGGAGCGUAGUCGGCUGUGCAAGCCCGAAGUGAAAGGCGGGGGCCCAACCCCUGGACCGCUUUGGGAACUGUCAGGCUGGAGUGGAGGAGAGGUAAGUGGAAUGCGCAGUGUAGCGGUGAAAUGCGUAGAUAUUAGGAGGAACACCAGUGGCGAAGGCGGCUUACUGGA
This 378-nucleotide ribosomal RNA is filed under the name uncultured bacterium. RNAcentral's name for it is "partial 16S ribosomal RNA". It matches the Rfam family "Bacterial small subunit ribosomal RNA", at positions 338 to 733 of the family's 1533-position model. The record is from RNAcentral.